Molecule: long non-coding RNA, 1374 nt
Filed under: Daphnia magna
Lineage: Eukaryota; Metazoa; Arthropoda; Branchiopoda; Diplostraca; Daphniidae
Description: uncharacterized LOC116926597, transcript variant X5
Source: RNAcentral
CUCAAAUUGGUCUCCGCGCGGCAAUUGUUGCUAGAGAUGAAGGGAGAUGGGCAAGACCAUAGCACAGACAACGAAGUGAUUCCAUUCUUGGUCUGUGACCAUAGCAUGAAGUAUACUUCAUAGGUGUUUGUAUAAUCAAUCAAUGCUGGCUGUUCUACACUUGGGGAAUAAUGGUUUGGUGAUUGGAUACAACACCACUUCAAUCCAUAGUGGCAAUUUUCAUUUCCGUGCAAGUGCCCUUCUAACUUUUGACAUAGCAAGGCAUGGAUUAAUCCUUGGAAGAAUUCCUCAUCACAGCGAAGUUAACAAAAUCAAAAUCAUUGUACAAUUGGCAUUGUGACAAACAAUGGAGAGAACGAAGCAAUCAAAGAACAGCGUUGUCAUUUUUUGAUUCGCCGCUGGAGAUUCAGAAGCAGAACGCCAUGUCACGAUGUCAGCGUCGAUGAAGGGUAAAUUACCUCAUAUGUAGAAGUCGUGUUUUCUUCAGUUCUAACUUCUAAGGCCAAAAAUGCUAAUUGCUACAAUAAUCAGAAACCCAUUUAAAUAGAUUUGGCAACAAGAUGUUGUUGACUUGUCAUGUCACUAAGGUAAGAAAGAACGGUAAUGCAUUUCGUCGUAUAAAAUCAUUCCUAAAAUUUUCCUAAACAAUGCACACCAAUACCGUCUGACGAUAUACCAUGAGAAUUUUGGUUUGAAUUGAGAACCGUUGUGCUGUUUUUUUUUACACUGAAACUUGCAAAAAGAAAUCUUGAUGAAGUGAUAGAGAACCUACUCCAAAAGCUGUUGCCUUUUUUAUUAUCUUGGCAAGACUCUUGGAAGUCUUUCUGUCGGCUCAUGUUGGAUCAUUGCAAGCUCUUUAUCUGCAUUCACUAUCACCCAUACAGAUUCAGUGGUUUUACAUUUAAAAAGUCAAAGGAAUGGAGCAAGUGAUGAUGGGUACGACAAAUUAAACCUCAGCAUUUCUUCAUUGGCAAACAUUCUCAUUGACGGUGGAAAAAAGCUGAAUUUCCUUUUAUGGGUGCUGAAAAUCUUUUUGAACAUUUUCAACUACUUUUCCAAUAACCCAAGCAAAUGCAGAAGUUUUUUCACAUUGAUAAAUAAUUAUAGUAAAAUGGGAGAGAAUUCUGGUUGAGGCCAGAUACCUGUAAAACCGUAACUGUUGCAAGCACAUGGGAAUAUCUCCACAUUGAUUUUCAUAUGUUGUGAUCUCAUGAUCAAAUUUUGCCAACUAACUACCAAAAAUUGUAUGUAACUAUAUUUGCCCAUGUCAGAAAAUUGCAGAAGGAAAGAGAUAUUGGAAGAAAGCAACUUGCACAUUACCGUUGGUUGCUGCUCCGUCCCGAAGAUAAAAUAUUAAAAUUUUUAUAAAUUGAA